AUAUUUCUGAGGCAUGCCUGUACUGCCCUCUCCCAAGAAUGCCUACGUGACCAGCCCUCAGACUGGAUCUUCUGCCUCCAAAUUAUCACCUACUUACCUGACCAUUGUCUCAACUACAGCUGAUGGGAUCCAUGACAGAAGCUUAACCAAAACUAGCCCAUGAGAUUGUUUUUCUCAGGAAUGUAGAAAUGAGGCAGAGGUUAGCCACUGUCCGUGUGCUCUGGAGCUAAACGCAUGUAAGUGUAAGGGUUCUCUUCUGUCCUAAGCUGACACAGGCUGCAGAGAAAAGUGGUUGAUGCUGCCAGUCAGAGAGAAGCAGAUGAAGGAGCCAUGCAGCCUGGAAGGCGAGAGGAGGGCCAAGAAAAUGAGCUUGGUUUCCAACGGGUUCCGCAAUUGCUAUUUUCGGUGGCUGCUGAGCCCAGGUGCUGUUUCUUCACUUGAGCUCCAUGACCCUCCCUGUGUGGUGGGUUGAACGGUGACCUCCAAAAGAUAUGUCCACCUGGAACCUCAGAAUAAGAUCUUAUUUGGAAUAGUCUUUGUAGAUGUCAGUAAGGUAAAGAUUUGGAGAUGAGACCCUCCUGGAUUAGGGUAGGCCCUAGGUCCACUGGCAGGUGUGCUUCUCAGGGUCUGAAAGGGGAAGACAGGGCCACCCAGAGGAGGAGACGGAGGCAGAGACAGGGCCACCCAGAGGAG
This 693-nucleotide long non-coding RNA is filed under the name Homo sapiens (human). RNAcentral's name for it is "HSALNT0324365". The record is from RNAcentral. Lineage: Eukaryota; Metazoa; Chordata; Mammalia; Primates; Hominidae.